RNAcentral lists this ribosomal RNA (465 nucleotides) under Vreelandella stevensii. Its description in RNAcentral is "partial 16S ribosomal RNA". It matches the Rfam family "Bacterial small subunit ribosomal RNA", at positions 338 to 795 of the family's 1533-position model. The record is from RNAcentral. Lineage: Bacteria; Pseudomonadati; Pseudomonadota; Gammaproteobacteria; Oceanospirillales; Halomonadaceae.
CCUACGGGGGGCUGCAGUGGGGAAUAUUGGACAAUGGGGGCAACCCUGAUCCAGCCAUGCCGCGUGUGUGAAGAAGGCCCUCGGGUUGUAAAGCACUUUCAGUGAGGAAGAACGCCUGGUGGUUAAUACCCAUCAGGAAAGACAUCACUCACAGAAGAAGCACCGGCUAACUCCGUGCCAGCAGCCGCGGUAAUACGGAGGGUGCGAGCGUUAAUCGGAAUUACUGGGCGUAAAGCGCGCGUAGGUGGCUUGAUAAGCCGGUUGUGAAAGCCCCGGGCUCAACCUGGGAACGGCAUCCGGAACUGUCAAGCUAGAGUGCAGGAGAGGAAGGUAGAAUUCCCGGUGUAGCGGUGAAAUGCGUAGAGAUCGGGAGGAAUACCAGUGGCGAAGGCGGCCUUCUGGACUGACACUGACACUGAGGUGCGAAAGCGUGGGUAGCAAACAGGAUUAGAUACACGAGUAGUC